GGCAGUUUAUCUGAUUAAUGUAUGAUUUUUUUUCUAAAAGAUGAAAUUAAAGUAUUGAAACUGAAGAUUUGUUUUCCUGCUGACUGAUGAUUAAAAGUGAAAAUCAACAAUUCUAUUGUUUGAAAGAUUCAUUCCAAAACUAUAUUGGCUUUUAAGAUAGGUUUUCAAAAUGGUGGAAUGCACUGGUUUAGGUAUUGCAUAUGGGGAGUGAUGUGGAGAAAUACUAUAAUUUUAUCAUUAAUUUUCUUGAAGUUUGCAUCAGAUAAAAGUGCAAUUCUUUUGAAAAGUAUUCGUUACUCAUCAUCAUCUUUCAGUAGGUACUGUUUUCAUUCAUGUCGUGCUAAUAUAGAACCAUUUAAAAAAAUAAAAUGUUAUUUAUUCAUAAACACAAAAUUAUGCAAAAUAAUACGAGUUAUGCAUAUCAAAGGUUACGC
Molecule: long non-coding RNA, 434 nt
Filed under: Androctonus crassicauda
Lineage: Eukaryota; Metazoa; Arthropoda; Arachnida; Scorpiones; Buthidae
Source: RNAcentral